GCUUACAGCCGUGCCACUCGCAUGUUUCGUCUGAUCUCAGAAGCUAAGGAAUGUCGGGGCUAGUUAGUACUUGGAUGAGAGACCUCAUAAUACCAGGUACUGUAAGCU
This is a ribosomal RNA of Neolamprologus brichardi, 108 nucleotides long. The record is from Ensembl. Lineage: Eukaryota; Metazoa; Chordata; Actinopteri; Cichliformes; Cichlidae.